UAGGUUUUUAAAGGACAUUGUUUUCAUCUGUCUUGUGCCAAAGUUGUAUCAUUGUUCAAUGCCAAACUUCUGAAGACAUAACCAGUCAAAGACCUCAGUUCAAAGUAUUUUCUCAAUCCAGUCGUGUGCUUUUCCUGUCGCUUCUGUGACUGCUUUCUAGACAAAGUAAAGUUAGUGUUAUGACUGUGCAUCCUGAUCACUUUCUGCUCCUGCAUUUGUAAUGGAAGCCUUGGGAAUGGAAUCCUCAGUGGGUCUUGUAUUUAUACAUUUGGCUAGAAGCCUUAUUUGUAUAUAAUGAUGCUUUUUUAAAUGCUUAGAAUGCUAUUUAUUUCUCAAGUGUAUAUAAUGUAUAAAAACAAAUGUAUGGUUAGUUUUUACUUUAUGAUUAACCAUUUUCAAGAUUAAAAAUUUUACUAGUAAAAUAAUAAA
This 429-nucleotide long non-coding RNA is filed under the name Bos taurus (domestic cattle). RNAcentral's name for it is "long non-coding RNA NONBTAT015230". The record is from RNAcentral. Lineage: Eukaryota; Metazoa; Chordata; Mammalia; Artiodactyla; Bovidae.